GUGGCGCGAAGAUUGCUCCAAUAGAAGUCGGAGUGGUAACGGCAGCUACGUGCUCCUCGGCACCCGAGGGGAGGAUCCUUCUCUCUACUUCUUCGGCGGACACAGAGAAGGUUUGCCAGGCCUGAAUCUCGGCCUCUUCUUGAUAGCGCAGUGGAUGGAUUUGGUCGAGAACCUCAUGCCUACAAGUCAAAGACAAAGGAAGAGUUAGUCCACAAACAAAAAAGAGAAUCGAUGAAAAAGACUCCAAGGAUUCACAAAAGGAAGUCUACCGAAAUGACCGGUCGGGCUUAUUCCGGCAUCG
Molecule: long non-coding RNA, 301 nt
Filed under: Elaeis guineensis (African oil palm)
Lineage: Eukaryota; Viridiplantae; Streptophyta; Magnoliopsida; Arecales; Arecaceae
Description: long non-coding RNA (EGUI_LNC011451)
Source: RNAcentral